RNAcentral lists this ribosomal RNA (602 nucleotides) under Salmonella enterica subsp. enterica serovar Enteritidis. Its description in RNAcentral is "partial 23S ribosomal RNA". It matches the Rfam family "Bacterial large subunit ribosomal RNA", at positions 1 to 588 of the family's 2925-position model. The record is from RNAcentral. Lineage: Bacteria; Pseudomonadati; Pseudomonadota; Gammaproteobacteria; Enterobacterales; Enterobacteriaceae.
GGGUUGUGAGGUUAAGCGACUAAGCGUACACGGUGGAUGCCCUGGCAGUCAGAGGCGAUGAAGGGCGUGCUAAUCUGCGAUAAGCGCCGGUAAGGUGAUAUGAACCGUUAUAACCGGCGAUACCCGAAUGGGGAAACCCAGUGUGACUCGUCACACUAUCAUUAACUGAAUCCAUAGGUUAAUGAGGCGAACCGGGGGAACUGAAACAUCUAAGUACCCCGAGGAAAAGAAAUCAACCGAGAUUCCCCCAGUAGCGGCGAGCGAACGGGGAGGAGCCCAGAGCCUGAAUCAGCAUGUGUGUUAGUGGAAGCGUCUGGAAAGGCGCGCGAUACAGGGUGACAGCCCCGUACACAAAAGCGCAUGUGCUGUGAGCUCGAUGAGUAGGGCGGGACACGUGGUAUCCUGUCUGAAUAUGGGGGGACCAUCCUCCAAGGCUAAAUACUCCUGACUGACCGAUAGUGAACCAGUACCGUGAGGGAAAGGCGAAAAGAACCCCGGCGAGGGGAGUGAAAAAGAACCUGAAACCGUGUACGUACAAGCAGUGGGAGCCCCACCACCAAAGCAUUUGCUGUACCGCGUUGACGGAGCGAAGCGACGUCAAA